CCAGACUCCUACGGGAGGCAGCAGUGGGGGAUAUUGCACAAUGGGGGAAACCCUGAUGCAGCGACGCCGCGUGAGUGAAGAAGUAAUUCGUUACGUAAAGCUCUAUCAGCAGGGAAGAAAAUGACGGUACCUGACUAAGAAGCCCCGGCUAACUACGUGCCAGCAGCCGCGGUAAUACGUAGGGGGCGAGCGUUAUCCGGAUUUACUGGGUGUAAAGGGAGCGUAGACGGUUAAUCAAGUCUGAAGUGAAAGCCCGCGGCUCAACUGCGGAACGGCUUUGGAAACUGAGUAACUGGAGUGCUGGAGGGGCAGGCGGAAUUCCUGGUGUAGCGGUGAAAUGCGUAGAUAUCAGGAGGAACACCAGUGGCGAAGGCGGCCUGCUGGGCUUUUACUGACGCUGAGGCUCGAAAGUGUGGGGAGCAAACAGGAUUAGAUACCCUUGUA
RNAcentral lists this ribosomal RNA (444 nucleotides) under uncultured bacterium. RNAcentral's name for it is "partial 16S ribosomal RNA". It matches the Rfam family "Bacterial small subunit ribosomal RNA", at positions 331 to 792 of the family's 1533-position model. The record is from RNAcentral.